GAAAUAUAAUUUCCAAGGUUCAAGUUCUACAAAGGCUUGGGGCGUUUUGACCAUAGCAUGAUCAACGAUAAAAUAUGCAACUACUUGCCCUUUCAUAGCUUUCAAAGGCAUGUAGGUCAAAGAAUACUCAGUUAAAGCAAGUGCCCAUUUACCAAUUCUACUAUGUAAGAUUGUCUUAGAAAACAUAUGUUUUAUCAUGUCAAAAUGUGACGAAACAUACACAUCAACCAACUUUAUAUAGUGCUUU
Molecule: long non-coding RNA, 247 nt
Filed under: Lathyrus oleraceus (garden pea)
Lineage: Eukaryota; Viridiplantae; Streptophyta; Magnoliopsida; Fabales; Fabaceae
Description: Pisum sativum (pea) long non-coding RNA (PSAT_LNC007683)
Source: RNAcentral